UACAGAGGUCCCAAGCGUUGUUCGGAUUCACUGGGCGUAAAGGGUGCGUAGGUGGUGAGGUAAGUCGGAUGUGAAAUCUCGGAGCUCAACUCCGAAAUGGCAUUGGAAACUACCUCGCUAGAGGAUCGGAGGGGAGACUGGAAUUCUCGGUGUAGCAGUGAAAUGCGUAGAUAUCGAGAGGAACACCAGUGGCGAAGGCGAGUCUCUGGACAUUUCCUGACGCUGAGGCACGAAAGCCAGGGGAGCAAACGGG
RNAcentral lists this ribosomal RNA (253 nucleotides) under uncultured bacterium. Its description in RNAcentral is "partial 16S ribosomal RNA". It matches the Rfam family "Bacterial small subunit ribosomal RNA", at positions 524 to 776 of the family's 1533-position model. The record is from RNAcentral.